GACGAACGCUGGCGGCGUGCCUAAUACAUGCAAGUAGAACGCUGAAGGAGGAGCUUGCUUCUCCGGAUGAGUUGCGAACGGGUGAGUAACGCGUAGGUAACCUGCCUGGUAGCGGGGGAUGACUAUUGGAAACGAUAGCUAAUACCGCAUAACAGUAGAUAUCGCAUGAUAUCUGCUUGAAAGGUGCAAUUGCAUCACUACCAGAUGGACCUGCGUUGUAUUAGCUAGUUGGUGAGGUAACGGCUCACCAAGGCGACGAUACAUAGCCGACCUGAGAGGGUGAUCGGCCACACUGGGACUGAGACACGGCCCAGACUCCUACGGGAGGCAGCAGGAGGGAAUCUUCGGCAAUGGACGGAAGUCUGACCGAGCAACGCCGCGUGAGUGAAGAAGGGUGUCGGAUCGUAAAGCUCUGUUGUAAGAGAAGAACGAGGGUGAGAGUGGAAAGUUCACACUGUGACGGUAGCUUACCAGAAAGGGACGGCUAACUACGUG
This 495-nucleotide ribosomal RNA is filed under the name uncultured bacterium. Its description in RNAcentral is "partial 16S ribosomal RNA". It matches the Rfam family "Bacterial small subunit ribosomal RNA", at positions 28 to 507 of the family's 1533-position model. The record is from RNAcentral.